UGGCUCUCGCAUCGAUGAAGAACGCAGCGAAAUGCGAUACGUAAUGUGAAUUGCAGAAUUCAGUGAAUCAUCGAAUCUUUGAACGCAUAUUGCGCUCUUUGGUAUUCCGAAGAGCAUGCUUGUUUGAGUAUCAGUAAACACCUCAAGAUCUCCUUUUCUUUUUGUAAAGGGAUCUUGGACUUGAGCAAACCCAACACCUUUCUCUCUCUAUGAAAGACUGGAGGCGGGUUGCUUGAAAUGCAGGUGCAGCUGGACAAUCUCCUGAGCUAAAAGCAUAUUUAUUUAGUCCCGUAAAACGGAUUAUUACUUUUGCUACAGCUAACAUAAAGGGAGUAUUGACCUUUUUUCGCUGACUGAUGUAGGAAGUAAACUCGAGUCGGUUAAACGACUUGUUGUUCAACUCGAUCUCAAAUCAAGUAAGACUACCCGCUGA
Molecule: unclassified non-coding RNA, 433 nt
Filed under: uncultured fungus
Lineage: Eukaryota; Fungi
Description: partial contains 5.8S ribosomal RNA and internal transcribed spacer 2
Rfam family: 5.8S ribosomal RNA (bases 1-133)
Source: RNAcentral